UGGGACUUGGACUGGGUUAACAGGUCUUUCAUCUUUAUAUAGUGCUCUAUUUUCUCACUUUUAUCCAAUGUGAGACUUGGACUCGCACUUGCAUUCCCAACAAUCUCCCCCUCAAGGGUGAGUCCCUUCCACAUUGGUACACUCCCCCUUCAACGGAAGCAUUCCCAUCCAACCACAACCACGAGUAGCCCUUUGUACCGCCGUUCAUCUUAACGGGACACGCUUACCUAGAACCCUUUGUCAGGAAUACUUUCGAUACAGGAAUCAUUAUACUCGUCUG
This 280-nucleotide long non-coding RNA is filed under the name Vigna radiata. Its description in RNAcentral is "long non-coding RNA (VRAD_LNC004027)". The record is from RNAcentral. Lineage: Eukaryota; Viridiplantae; Streptophyta; Magnoliopsida; Fabales; Fabaceae.